AUACGGAAGGUCCGGGCGUUAUCCGGAUUUAUUGGGUUUAAAGGGAGCGCAGGCGGAGAUGCAAGCGUGACGUCAAAUUUCGGGGCUCAACCCCGUCUCGCGUCGCGAACUGCGUCCCUUGGUUGCGGGAAGGGGAGGCGGAACUCGUGGUGUAGCGGUGAAAUGCAUAGAUAUCACGAAGAACUCCGAUCGCGAAGGCAGCCUUCCGGCCCGUCAACGACGCUCAUGCUCGAAGGUGCGGGUAUCAGACAGGAUUAGAUACCCUGGUAGUCCGCACAGUAAACGAUGGACACCCGCGGUUUGGCCUAUAUGGCUGAGCCGCCAAGCGAAAGCGUUAAGUGUCCCACCUGGGGAGUACGCCGGCAACGGUGAAACUCAAAGGAAUUGACGGGG
This 393-nucleotide ribosomal RNA is filed under the name uncultured bacterium. RNAcentral describes it as "partial 16S ribosomal RNA". It matches the Rfam family "Bacterial small subunit ribosomal RNA", at positions 523 to 918 of the family's 1533-position model. The record is from RNAcentral.